GCACCGCUAGCUCAACGGCAGAGCAGCUGACUCUUAAUCAGCGGGUUCAGGGUUCGAAUCCCUGGCGGUGUA
Molecule: transfer RNA, 72 nt
Filed under: Propioniferax innocua
Lineage: Bacteria; Bacillati; Actinomycetota; Actinomycetes; Propionibacteriales; Propionibacteriaceae
Rfam family: tRNA
About the family: Transfer RNA (tRNA) molecules are approximately 80 nucleotides in length. Their secondary structure includes four short double-helical elements and three loops (D, anti-codon, and T loops). Further hydrogen bonds mediate the characteristic L-shaped molecular structure. tRNAs have two regions of fundamental functional importance: the anti-codon, which is responsible for specific mRNA codon recognition, and the 3' end, to which the tRNAs corresponding amino acid is attached (by aminoacyl-tRNA synthetases). tRNAs cope with the degeneracy of the genetic code in two manners: having more than one tRNA (with a specific anti-codon) for a particular amino acid; and 'wobble' base-pairing, i.e. permitting non-standard base-pairing at the 3rd anti-codon position.
Source: Rfam by way of RNAcentral